UACAGAGGGUGCGAGCGUUAAUCGGAUUUACUGGGCGUAAAGCGUGCGUAGGCGGCUUUUUAAGUCGGAUGUGAAAUCCCCGAGCUUAACUUGGGAAUUGCAUUCGAUACUGGGAAGCUAGAGUAUGGGAGAGGAUGGUAGAAUUCCAGGUGUAGCGGUGAAAUGCGUAGAGAUCUGGAGGAAUACCGAUGGCGAAGGCAGCCAUCUGGCCUAAUACUGACGCUGAGGUACGAAAGCAUGGGGAGCAAACAGGAUUAGAUACC
Molecule: ribosomal RNA, 263 nt
Filed under: uncultured bacterium
Lineage: Bacteria
Description: partial 16S ribosomal RNA
Rfam family: Bacterial small subunit ribosomal RNA
Source: RNAcentral